GGGGGGGGGGGGGGGGGGGGGGGGGGGGGGGGGGGCGGGGGGGCGGGGGGGGGGCGUGGGGCUCUGAGGGUGGGGGGGGACGGGUGGGUACCGCGGGGGUGACCUACCUGUGAGACUGGGGUAGCUUCGGGGAACCGGAGCUAAUACCGGAGACUAUGUUCAACCGCAUGGUUCCAUAGUGACCGCCGGUUUUGCUGUCCCUUAUGGAUGUUGCCGCGCCGCCUUAGCUCAUUGGUCAGGUAACGGCGUACCAAGGCGACGAUGCGUAGCCGACCUGAGAGGGUGGUCGGCCACACUGGAACUGAGACACGGUCCAGACUCCUAAGGGAGGCAGCAGUAGGGAAUCUUCCGCAAUGGGCGAAAGCCUGACGGAGCAACGCCGCGUGAGUGAUGAAGGUCUUCGGAUCGUAAAACUCUGUUAUUAGGGAAGAACAAAUGUGUAAGUAACUAUGCACGUCUUGACGGUACCUAAUCAGAAAGCCACGGCUAACUACGUG
This 497-nucleotide ribosomal RNA is filed under the name uncultured bacterium. RNAcentral's name for it is "partial 16S ribosomal RNA". It matches the Rfam family "Bacterial small subunit ribosomal RNA", at positions 38 to 507 of the family's 1533-position model. The record is from RNAcentral.